AACGAACGCUGGCGGCAUGCCUAACACAUGCAAGUCGAACGAGACCUUCGGGUCUAGUGGCGCACGGGUGCGUAACACGUGGGAAUCUGCCCUUAGGUUCGGAAUAACAGUUGGAAACGACUGCUAAUACCGGAUGAUGACGUAAGUCCAAAGAUUUAUCGCCUAAGGAUGAGCCCGCGUCGGAUUAGCUAGUUGGUGGGGU
Molecule: ribosomal RNA, 202 nt
Filed under: uncultured bacterium
Lineage: Bacteria
Description: partial 16S ribosomal RNA
Rfam family: Bacterial small subunit ribosomal RNA
Source: RNAcentral